UUGUAGAGGAUGCUUUGGGUAAAACGCCAGUCUAAGUUCCUUGGAACAGGACGUCAUAGAGGGUGAGAAUCCCGUAUGUGACUGGAAAUGUUAACCUAUGUAAAGCUCCUUCGACGAGUCGAGUUGUUUGGGAAUGCAGCUCUAAAUGGGAGGUAAAUUUCUUCUAAAGCUAAAUAUUGGCGAGAGACCGAUAGCGCACAAGUAGAGUGAUCGAAAGAUGAAAAGCACUUUGGAAAGAGAGUUAAAAAGCACGUGAAAUUGUUGAAAGGGAAGCGCUUGCAAUCAGACUUGUUUAAACUGUUCGGCCGGUCUUCUGACCGGUUUACUCAGUUUGGACAGGCCAGCAUCAGUUUCGGCGGCCGGAUAAAGGCUCUGGGAAUGUGGCCUCCACUUCGGUGGAGGUGUUAUAGCCCAGUGUGUAAUACGGCCAGCCGGGACUGAGGUCCGCGCUUCGGCUAGGAUGCUGGCGUAAUGGUUGUAAGCGACCCGUCUUGAAACACGGAC
Molecule: ribosomal RNA, 504 nt
Filed under: Aureobasidium pullulans
Lineage: Eukaryota; Fungi; Ascomycota; Dothideomycetes; Dothideales; Saccotheciaceae
Description: eukaryotic LSU rRNA
Rfam family: Eukaryotic large subunit ribosomal RNA
Source: RNAcentral